AACGAACGCUGGCGGCAUGCCUAACACAUGCAAGUCGAACGAAGGCUUCGGCCUUAGUGGCGCACGGGUGCGUAACGCGUGGGAAUCUGCCCUUUGGUUCGGAAUAACAGCUGGAAACGGCUGCUAAUACCGGAUGAUGACGAAAGUCCAAAGAUUUAUCGCCAGAGGAUGAGCCCGCGUUGGAUUAGGUAGUUGGUGGGGUAAAGGCCUACCAAGCCGACGAUCCAUAGCUGGUCUGAGAGGAUGAUCAGCCACACUGGGACUGAGACACGGCCCAGACUCCUACGGGAGGCAGCAGUGGGGAAUAUUGGACAAUGGGCGCAAGCCUGAUACAGCAAUGCCGCGUGAGUGAUUAAGGCCCUAGGGUUGUAAAGCUCUUUUACCCGGGAAGAUAAUGACUGUACCGGGAGAAUAAGCCCCGGCUAACUCCGUG
Molecule: ribosomal RNA, 433 nt
Filed under: uncultured bacterium
Lineage: Bacteria
Description: partial 16S ribosomal RNA
Rfam family: Bacterial small subunit ribosomal RNA
Source: RNAcentral